GCGAUCCCAGGUCAGGCGGGGCUACCCGCUGAGUUUAAGCA
This 41-nucleotide ribosomal RNA is filed under the name Maguireanthus ayangannae. RNAcentral describes it as "partial 26S ribosomal RNA". Lineage: Eukaryota; Viridiplantae; Streptophyta; Magnoliopsida; Myrtales; Melastomataceae. The record is from RNAcentral.